UCUUGUUAUUUUACUAAAAAGACAAUGAGGAUAUCAAAGAACGACUUGAGGAGUCGACCUGAAGGCCUCUCCAUACUCAAGAAUGAUUUCAUGCGACGUGGACCAGGAUCAGUCAUGUCGAAUACUAUGCACAUGACCUGACCUGUAUACUGCUGCCUUUAUUGAACUUGAAACCUCAUCACCUGGACUGGAUCCAGCUACAAAAAACUCAGAGGUGGAAUUCUGUGUGUUUGUUAUGGAUCUGUUGUUUUCAGGUUUUGAGUUGGUCUUCAUCAUCAUUGCUUUCACUAUUAUGUGCUUAUUUGGCCUGGCUGCUGUCUACACACACAAUAGAGAUCAUCAAGAUGACUUAAUUCAGACAGAAGAGAAGAUAAUGCAACAAAAGAGUAACUCAAAGAAAAAACAGCGAGGUGUCCCCAAAACCAACCAAGAGCUACCAUGAACACACGAACAAACAGAUUUCAUAUAAAUACAGAAUCCUUCUGUUGGUGCUCGUUGAAUUAAAAGGCAUGGCGCACCAAAUGCAGCUAAUCAGUGUGUGAAGGUCUCUGACACUGAAAAUGGACUUGCUGUCGAGCUCAUCUUUUAGUUGACCCUGAA
Long non-coding RNA from Cyprinus carpio (common carp), 600 nucleotides. RefSeq lists it as uncharacterized. The record is from RefSeq and is a predicted model, not a curated record. Lineage: Eukaryota; Metazoa; Chordata; Actinopteri; Cypriniformes; Cyprinidae.